AGGUCACUGAAGGAUCAGAGUCUGUCAUCCUCCCAUGCAAAACAAUACCUGACCUGCCUGAGGACACCACAGUGAAGUGGAUGAGAUUUGACAGAGAAAUCAUGAUGGUCCAUGAGUAUUCAAAUGGAAGUGACCAACUUAAGAACCAAGACGACCUUUACUGUGGUCGCACAAAGAUGAAUGAAGACCUGCUGAGAACUGGAGACCUCAGUCUGACCCUGAAAUACCCCACAGAGAGAGACAGUGGAGGAUACAUCUGCACCAUCUACAGGGACAAAGACAUCCUGAGACAGAAAGUAGUGCUGCGGGUCAAAGAACAGUUUCCAUCCUGGGCCACAGCUCUCCUGGUUCUCCUGGUUCUUCUUGUGGUUUCUGGAUGUCUUCUAUUUUAUUUCCGGCACUAUUUCAUGUCAGUUUAUAAGGUGGAGGUGGAUUCAGGGGUGGAGUCUGUCCAGCUACCCUGUAAAGCCAUAGUUUGCCUGUCAAAAGAUGCGAAAGUGGAGUGGAAGGAAAAUUACAUGAUUGCCAACACACCAAACAACAGGAAGGUCCACGUGUAUGAGAACGGC
This is a long non-coding RNA of Oreochromis aureus, 569 nucleotides long. The record is from Ensembl. NCBI's taxonomy places the organism in Eukaryota, Metazoa, Chordata, Actinopteri, Cichliformes, Cichlidae.